AUCGCUUCUCGGCCUUUUUGCUAAGAUCAAGUGUAAGUAUCUGUUCUUAUCAGUUUAAAAUAAUCACUGUGGAAGUUUUACACCUAUUCUGGAGAUGUGUUUAUCACUCAAAAUAUUUUGGGAAUGCAUCUCUUUCACAAUUUUCUAAACAGUU
Small nuclear RNA from Nomascus leucogenys (northern white-cheeked gibbon), 154 nucleotides. Its record names the gene U2. It matches the Rfam family "U2 spliceosomal RNA". From Rfam's summary of the family: U2 is a small nuclear RNA (snRNA) component of the spliceosome (involved in pre-mRNA splicing). The record is from Ensembl. Lineage: Eukaryota; Metazoa; Chordata; Mammalia; Primates; Hylobatidae.